AGCUCCACGAGCAUGUACGUAAGUUGUUGCAGUUAAAAAGCUCGUAGUUGGAUCUCAGGCCUGUGGCCAGUGGUCCGCCCAGUACGGGUGUGUACUGCUGUGCCCGGUCUACGUCUGGUCUACUUCCGUAGUGCUCUUAACCGGGUGUUGCGGAAUGCCAGAAGGUUUACUCUGAAAAAAUUAGAGUGCUCAAAGCAAGCUCAAAAGCUUGAAUACUGUUGCAUGGAAUAAUGGAAUAGGACCUCGGAUCUAUUUUGUUGGUUUUCGGAGUCGAGGUAAUGAUUAAGAGGGACAGACGGGGGCAUUCGUAUUGCGCCGUUAGAGGUGAAAUUCUUGGAUCGGCGCAAGACGAACAACUGCGAAAGCAUUUGCCAAGGAUGUUUUCAUUAAUCAAGAACGA
Molecule: ribosomal RNA, 400 nt
Filed under: phytoplankton environmental sample
Lineage: Eukaryota
Description: partial small subunit ribosomal RNA
Rfam family: Eukaryotic small subunit ribosomal RNA
Source: RNAcentral